GAAGUAAAAGUCGUAACAAGGUCUCCGUUGGUGAACCAGCGGAGGGAUCAUUACAGAGUUUUCCAAACUCCCAAAACCCAUGUGAACAUACCAUACGUUGCCUCGGCAGGGCCGCGCCCGGAGAGAAGAACUACCCCGCGCUUCCGCGGUGCGGGGUAUUCUCUUAGGGCGGUUGGUUCUGCCGGCGGCCCACCAAACUCAGUUCUUGCAGUGAAAUUCUGAAUUAUAAACCAAAAAAAGUUAAAACUUUCAACAACGGAUCUCUUGGUUCUGGCAUCGAUGAAGAACGCAGCGAAAUGCGAUAAGUAAUGUGAAUUGCAGAAUUCAGUGAAUCAUCGAAUCUUUGAACGCACAUUGCGCCCAUUAGUAUUCUAGUGGGCAUGCCUGUUCGAGCGUCAUUUCAACCCUUAAGCCCCUGUUGCUUAGCGUUGGGAGCCUGCUGGAAGCUUUUUUCCCCUACAGCUCCCCAAAGAUAGUGGCGGAGUCGGUCUCACAACUCUAGACGUAGUAGAACAUUUCGUCUCGUCUGUAGUUGGGGCCGGUUCCCUGCCGUAAAACCCACCAAUUCUUUACAAGGUUGACCUCGGAUCAGGUAGGAAUACCCGCUGAACUUAAGCAUAUCAAUAAGCGGAGGAAAAGAAACCAACAGGGAUUGCCCUAGUAACGGCGAGUGAAGCGGCAACAGCUCAAAUUUGAAAUCUGGCCCUCGGGUCCGAGUUGUAAUUUGCAGAGGAUGCUUUUGGCGAGGUGCCUUCCGAGUUCCCUGGAACGGGACGCCUUAGAGGGUGAGAGCCCCGUACGGUUGGACGCCGAGCCUCUGUAAAGCUCCUUCGACGAGUCGAGUAGUUUGGGAAUGCUGCUCUAAAUGGGAGGUAAAUUUCUUCUAAAGCUAAAUACCGGCCAGAGACCGAUAGCGCACAAGUAGAGUGAUCGAAAGAUGAAAAGCACUUUGAAAAGAGGGUUAAACAGCACGUGAAAUUGUUGAAAGGGAAGCGUUUGCGACCAGACCUUGUCCCGGCGGAUCAUCCGGUGUUCUCACCGGUGCACUUCGCCGGGUUAAGGCCAGCAUCGGUUUCCGCGGGGGGAUAAAAGCAGGGGGAACGUGGCUUCCUCGGAAGUGUUAUAGCCCUCUGCAUAAUACCCUCGUGGGGACCGAGGACCGCGCUUCGGCAAGGAUGCUGGCGUAAUGGUCGUCAACGACCCGUCUUGAAACACGGACCAAGGAGUCGAACAUUUGUGCGAGUGUUUGGGUGUCAAACCCUCACGCGUAAUGAAAGUGAACGGAGGUGAGAGCCCUCGGGUGCAUCAUCGACCGAUCCUGAUGUCUUCGGAUGGAUUUGAGUAGGAGCAUAACUGUUCGGACCCGAAAGAUGGUGAACUAUGCGUGGAUAGGGUGAAGCCAGAGGAAACUCUGGUGGAGGCUCGCAGCGGUUCUGACGUGCAAAUCGAUCGUCAAAUCUGCGCAU
This 1466-nucleotide unclassified non-coding RNA is filed under the name Xylariales sp. KO-groupB 2014. RNAcentral describes it as "partial contains ITS1, 5.8S rRNA, ITS2 and LSU". The stretch from base 579 to 1466 matches the Rfam family "Eukaryotic large subunit ribosomal RNA", at positions 1 to 918 of the family's 3401-position model. Lineage: Eukaryota; Fungi; Ascomycota; Sordariomycetes; Xylariales. The record is from RNAcentral.